RNAcentral lists this long non-coding RNA (964 nucleotides) under Anser brachyrhynchus (Pink-footed goose). RNAcentral describes it as "lncRNA (ENSABRG00000011796.1)". Lineage: Eukaryota; Metazoa; Chordata; Aves; Anseriformes; Anatidae. The record is from RNAcentral.
UGCCCCUGCCCGGCGCCGCCGCCGCUGCCGGCCCUGUCAAUCACGGCCGGCAUUUAUAGCCGCCCCGCACAUGGCGCUGUCAGUCGGGCGGCGGAGCCGUGACGCGGCCCCGGGCUCCCCCCCGCCAGCCCCGGGUCCCUCGGCGUGAGGUGGUCCGGCCCCGGCCCCCCUCCACCCCUCCUCCCCCUCUGGGGACAAAACGCGCGACGUUCAAGCGUUGGUUUUGUUAAUCGUAACUCCCUCCCUGCCCCCAACGCGUUGGUCAGUUUGGGGGUUUGGGGUUUCUCAAAGGUAGCUGAGGGUCGGCUGCAAAACGCCUUGUUGCUUCGAAGGCACGAUCGUUGUGCCGUGGCUGGCAGCGCUGUGCGCUGCGAUCGUUGCGGUCACGUCCUGGUGGCGGUCCCAGGAGCGUUUCAGGCUUUGGCAGCUGUUUUUCCCCUGGGUUCCCAAGGUGCUGGUAUUUAUUCGGUCUCCCUGAAGAGGACAGCGUGAAACAGGGCUGUAAGAGCGGUUGUAUUGAGCGCCGCAGGCACGUCGCUGGUGACACUGCGGCUCUGCGGAGCGGGAUUGACGGAUAGAACAGCUUGGCUGUGCAUCGGCGGUCUGCCCACGGCUGUGUGCCUGGAGUCUGCAAGAAGAAAACAACAGCAGGCAUUGCUGCAAAAGAGACGAGAUCGUGGCAGAGAGGUCCAGACUGGGAAAGACCACAGGCUUUGAGCCGAUCCCUGCCUGGGCAGGAGAGAGAAUGAACGUGACAACAAGCAGCGAGGCAGCUUUUUCCUACAAACUGCAUCCCCAUCCUUUUGAAGAGAAAAGCAGCAGGAAGAGUCACAUCCCUGGAGAGGCAUGGCUCAGCUUUGCUCCUUCCCCAGACAUCCAUCUGCAUCCUUCCAUACUGCUAGUGAAGGUACUUGUGGCAAGAGCUGAGGGAGAGACCCAGUGGGAAUUUGUCUGCUGGUGGGAA